Molecule: unclassified non-coding RNA, 130 nt
Filed under: synthetic construct
Description: RNA (130-MER) from synthetic construct (PDB 6WLJ, chain A)
Source: RNAcentral
GGCGAUAUGGCAUGGAAUCAGCUCAAGGAACUGUGAACGUAUAUCGGGCAACGACUAGGAAACUAGUCGUUGGGAAGAAACUGCCGAUAUACGGGAGUUCCUUGAGCGGGAGAUUCCAUGCCUAAGUCGC